Molecule: ribosomal RNA, 480 nt
Filed under: uncultured bacterium
Lineage: Bacteria
Description: partial 16S ribosomal RNA
Rfam family: Bacterial small subunit ribosomal RNA
Source: RNAcentral
GACGAACGCUGGCGGCGCGCUUAACACAUGCAAGUCGAACGGAAAGGCCUGCUUUCCCUUGUGGAUUGCGGGUACUCGAGUGGCGAACGGGUGAGUAACACGUGAGUGAUCUGCCCCCAACUUGGGUAUAAGCCUGGGAAACUGGGUCUAAUUCCCGAUAGGACUGCAGGGUGGUGCCUGUGGUGGAAAACGAUUUUCUAGUGGUUGGGGAUGAGCUCGCGGCCUAUCAGCUUGUUGGUGGGGUAAUGGCCUACCAAGGCGGCGACGGGUAGCCGGCCUGAGAGGGUGGACGGCCACAUUGGGACUGAGAUACGGCCCAGACUCCUACGGGAGGCAGCAGUGGGGAAUAUUGCACAAUGGGCGGAAGCCUGAUGCAGCAACGCCGCGUGCGGGAUGACGGCCUUCGGGUUGUAAACCGCUUUCGCCUGUGACGAAGCGUGAGUGACGGUAAUGGGUAAAGAAGCACCGGCUAACUACGUG